GUAGGGAAUAUUGCGCAAUGGGGGAAACCCUGACGCAGCGACGCCGCGGGAGUGAUGAAGGCCUUAGGGUCGUAAAGCUCUGUUGAAUGGGAAGAAAAAAAUGACGGUACCAUUCGAGGAAGGACCGGCUAACUUCGUGCCAGCAGCCGCGGUAAUACGAGGGGUCCUAGCGUUGUUCGGAAUCAUUGGGCGUAAAGGGUGUGUAGGUGGCCAUGUAAGUCAGGUGUGAAAGCCCCGGGCUCAACCCGGGAAGUGCACUUGAUACUGCGUGGCUUGAGUACCGAAGAGGGUAGUGGAAUUCCAGGUGUAGUGGUGAAAUACGUAGAUAUCUGGAGGAACACCGGAGGCGAAGGCGGCUACCUGGUCGAGUACUGACACUGAGACACGAAAGCAUGGGGAUCAAACAGGAUUAGAUACCCCAGUAGUCC
This 428-nucleotide ribosomal RNA is filed under the name uncultured bacterium. Its description in RNAcentral is "partial 16S ribosomal RNA". It matches the Rfam family "Bacterial small subunit ribosomal RNA", at positions 354 to 796 of the family's 1533-position model. The record is from RNAcentral.